This 54-nucleotide small RNA is filed under the name unclassified sequences. Its description in RNAcentral is "Streptococcus sRNA SpF59 (ldcC RNA)". It matches the Rfam family "Streptococcus sRNA SpF59 (ldcC RNA)". The record is from Rfam by way of RNAcentral.
UGACCGCUCUUUAACGGGAGCCAAGGCCAUACGGACAGCCGGGUCAACUGCCGA